Molecule: transfer RNA, 73 nt
Filed under: Crassvirales sp.
Lineage: Duplodnaviria; Heunggongvirae; Uroviricota; Caudoviricetes; Crassvirales
Description: tRNA-Trp
Rfam family: tRNA
About the family: Transfer RNA (tRNA) molecules are approximately 80 nucleotides in length. Their secondary structure includes four short double-helical elements and three loops (D, anti-codon, and T loops).
Source: RNAcentral
UGGGUAGUAGUUCAAUAGGUAGAACACUGGUCUCCAAAACCAGCAGUUAUGGGUUCAAUUCCUGUCUACUCAG